UCCCUUCCAGGAACCAAGAUACAGGGAUGUCAGGCAAAAGACCAGGACAAAGGGCGGAAGCUGGAGGCGGAAGCACAUCCUCUCUGAAGGGCUUCUGGAACCAUGCUGAGGAUUCAGACAGUGCUGGGCCUGUGGAGGGAUGAGAUGGGCAUCAGCAGAAGGAGAUGUCAACGGCAGUCUGACCCCUACACUGUGUCUGCAGGCACAGAAGCUCCCUGGGAGCCAAAUCAGGAGCCUGCUGCUCCUAGCCAGGAGUCUGCUGCCAACACUUCAUCCCAGAGCUGCCCAGCGCUCUUGAAAUGAGAAGUCCAUUAAAGCUCCCAUCUGCCACUCAUGGUAAACAUCUCCGUCUCCAGAGUCUCUGAUUGUCUAUCAGCUUCCUCCCACACCACACCCAACAUCCAUUUUUGGAUGUUUCUCUCAACUUUUAGGCUCUUAACAUCUUGAAGCUCGAGCUGAGUUCAUCAAAGUGAUGGGAGGCCACAUAGUGGAAACGCUGGCUUCCACUCCUGGCUUGCCUGGGUUCCUUUUGCUGUGCUGAUUGUCAACAGGGUGUCUCUGGGGGGCAUUUACUUCACCUCUGAACUUUAUUUUUAAACCAUACUAAAAGGGAGUGUACUUUC
RNAcentral lists this long non-coding RNA (623 nucleotides) under Rattus norvegicus (Norway rat). Its description in RNAcentral is "long non-coding RNA NONRATT025982". Lineage: Eukaryota; Metazoa; Chordata; Mammalia; Rodentia; Muridae. The record is from RNAcentral.